This 497-nucleotide ribosomal RNA is filed under the name uncultured bacterium. Its description in RNAcentral is "partial 16S ribosomal RNA". It matches the Rfam family "Bacterial small subunit ribosomal RNA", at positions 28 to 507 of the family's 1533-position model. The record is from RNAcentral.
GAUGAACGCUGGCGGCGUGCCUAAUACAUGCAAGUCGAGCGAACAGAUGAGGAGCUUGCUCCUCUGACGUUAGCGGCGGACGGGUGAGUAACACGUGGAUAACCUACCUAUAAGACUGGGAUAACUUCGGGAAACCGGAGCUAAUACCGGAUAAUAUAUAGAACCGCAUGGUUCAAUAGUGAAAGACGGUUUUGCUGUCACUUAUAGAUGGAUCCGCGCCGCAUUAGCUAGUUGGUAAGGUAACGGCUUACCAAGGCAACGAUGCGUAGCCGACCUGAGAGGGUGAUCGGCCACACUGGAACUGAGACACGGUCCAGACUCCUACGGGAGGCAGCAAUAGGGAAUCUUCCGCAAUGGGCGAAAGCCUGACGGAGCAACGCCGCGUGAGUGAUGAAGGUCUUCGGAUCGUAAAACUCUGUUAUUAGGGAAGAACAAAUGUGUAAGUAACUAUGCACGCCUUGACGGUACCUAAUCAGAAAGCCACGGCUAACUACGUG